UUGACUCUGGCCUCAAAUCAGGUAGGACUACCCGCUGAACUUAAGCAUAUCAAUAAGCGGAGGA
Molecule: ribosomal RNA, 64 nt
Filed under: Apiotrichum domesticum
Lineage: Eukaryota; Fungi; Basidiomycota; Tremellomycetes; Trichosporonales; Trichosporonaceae
Also listed under: 4 other names
Description: partial 28S ribosomal RNA
Rfam family: Eukaryotic large subunit ribosomal RNA (bases 8-64)
Source: RNAcentral